AACGAAAUAACUCAAAAUUGAGAUAAAAAAUACCUAAAACUAAGUUCUCUCACAACUCUCCUUGUUUGGAUACAUUAUGUUCUUAGCUUUAGUUAUUUUAAACUCAAUCUUCAGGUUAUCCGAAAAAACUUACUUUUGAGUUAUUUGAUACUUGUGGAUCUGAAGUUGUUUUCAUUCCCGAUAAUGAAAGUAUCCAAAAUCAAGUGCUGGUGCAGUACUUGAUUUUGGAUGAAAAAUUCAAUCGAGCGCCAUUUGUAUUUCGGAGUUAGUGCUUUUAUCGCUCAGGUGCAUAAAAAACUAUUUGGAUGCUGAUUCGUUUGUGUUUUCAAGUGCGGAAGGCCUGUCAUGUUCCAGGUUUCGUCACACCGAUUGUCUCUGCAAUUUUCGAAUCUGGUAUGAGUGUCUACUAGCAGCUCAUCAAAUUUUAAUCCACUUCCAGCCAUACACCAUAAAUCCGACGACCGAUAGCAUAGCGAAUUAAAAACUAAAUUCAUGACGGACCACAAUCAAAACACCCGAUGGAUGAAGCAUCCGGACAACAACGUAACAACGGAGGAAUAUAACCGUGAUUGAAUAGUGUUAAAUUGUGUCGUUACCUUGCCUAUGUAAUUUGACUAUGAAUUAAUAAAAUGUGAUUUGAUGCCAAA
Molecule: long non-coding RNA, 647 nt
Organism: Aedes albopictus (Asian tiger mosquito)
Lineage: Eukaryota; Metazoa; Arthropoda; Insecta; Diptera; Culicidae
Exons: 3
Source: RefSeq, a predicted model, not a curated record